RNAcentral lists this ribosomal RNA (207 nucleotides) under uncultured Comamonas sp. RNAcentral's name for it is "partial 16S ribosomal RNA". It matches the Rfam family "Bacterial small subunit ribosomal RNA", at positions 568 to 774 of the family's 1533-position model. The record is from RNAcentral. Lineage: Bacteria; Pseudomonadati; Pseudomonadota; Betaproteobacteria; Burkholderiales; Comamonadaceae.
UGCGCAGGCGGUCUUGUAAGACAGAGGUGAAAUCCCCGGGCUCAACCUGGGAACUGCCUUUGUGACUGCAAGGCUGGAGUGCGGCAGAGGGGGAUGGAAUUCCGCGUGUAGCAGUGAAAUGCGUAGAUAUGCGGAGGAACACCGAUGGCGAAGGCAAUCCCCUGGGCCUGCACUGACGCUCAUGCACGAAAGCGUGGGGAGCAAACA